Molecule: long non-coding RNA, 1276 nt
Organism: Delphinapterus leucas (beluga whale)
Lineage: Eukaryota; Metazoa; Chordata; Mammalia; Artiodactyla; Monodontidae
Source: RefSeq, a predicted model, not a curated record
UCUGGGUCAAAGCACCUGCAAGACACAGGAGAAAAAGAACAUCCAAAUUCAGAAGGCGACUAAUCCAGAGCUGAGCGCUCCUCUGAACCCAUCAUCACUAAGGUCAACUGGCUCCUGCUGAAAAUUUUCAGACCACACUUACCUGACUUCUGAGUCACGGAUUUUCAUCAAUUCUCCAUGGGCCUAUGACUCCAAGCAGAUCAAGAACCACUGACCUAGACAAUUGCAGGCACGGAAGGAAAUCUACCUGCUGUGCAGACAAAGUUUUAAUCAACGAACACAAAUAGCCAAGCAACCGACUUUCUGAAAAAUGAGUCCACUAUUUACUUUAAAGGAGUAGUCUCUAAAUGGGAAAUCAUUGCCUAUCCUCAAAAAGCAUGGUUACGCACUGAUUCUACAGAAGUAAACUCUGAUGCUAGGAGUGGAGGAGACUCUGAAAGAAAUCAAGCUUUCUGCUUCUUCCCUCCCAGAGGAUCUUUUCAAGUUAAUAUCCCUGAAAGCCUAAAACAAAGCCACUUACAGACACAAGGAAUUGAAAGAACCCUAAAAAGCAGACAUUGUUAUCAUCUCCAUUUUACUGAAGAGGAAACCUAGGUUUAAGGAAGUUGAAAACCUGAUGAUUUGAAGAUAGAACUUGAAUUCAGGUCAUCUGAUGCUGGACUGAUGGUCUUUGUGUCACUCUACAACACUGUAAUAUUCCUUCCUUUGUAUCUGUCCUAGUUUGGUUUUCCAUAGAAGUUGACCCUGAGAAAAGGAUUUGAGUGGAAAUUUGGGGAGGUGCAUGGAAAACCUGAGGAGUAGGGAUGAGAAAAGCAUCCAGUAAGGAGUGAUAUUAAGUCACUAUAUGCAAAUGGGCCUUAAUAUCUCAGGUAAAUACUGGAAAUGGAGAUAUUUGGAGCAUUUGGAGAUUGGGCCUUUAUAGAGGUGAUUAAGCUAAAAUGAGCAUGUUAGAGUGGGCCCUAAUCCAAUCUGUCAUGUCCUUAUAAGAAGAAGAAAUCUGGACACGCAAAGAGACAUCAGGGAUGUGCACACAGAGGAAAGACCAUGUGAGGACGCAAUGAAAAGGCAAGCCAAGGAGAGAGGCCUCAGAAGAAACCAUACUUGCCAACAGCUUGACCUUGGACUUUUACCCUCCCGAACUGUGAGACAAUAAAUGUCUAUCAUUUAAGCCACCCAGUCUGUGGUAUUUUGUUAUGGCAGCAAUUGCAAAAGAAUACAUGAUGGCUCAGAAAUUUUCCUCCCAAGUAGUAAGGGAGCUGGAAUAAAUGUUCUUAAG